AACACAUGCAAGUCGAACGGACUCUUUCGAGAGUUAGUGGCGGACGGGUGAGUAACGCGUGAGGAUCUGCCGACAGGCCGGGGACAACAUUAGGAAACUGAUGCUAACACCCGAUGUGCCGAGAGGUGAAAUAUUUAUAGCCUGUCGAUGAGCUCGCGUCUGAUUAGCUAGUUGGUUAGGUAAUGGCUGACCAAGGCGACGAUCAGUAACUGGUCUGAGAGGAUGACCAGUCACACUGGGACUGAGACACGGCCCAGACUCCUACGGGAGGCAGCAGUGGGGAAUUUUCCGCAAUGGGCGCAAGCCUGACGGAGCAAUACCGCGUGAGGGAGGACGGCUCUUGGGUUGUAAACCUCUUUUCUUUGGGAAGAAAACAAUGACGGUACCAGAGGAAUCAGCAUCGGCUAACUCCGUGCCAGCAGCCGCGGUAAUACGGAGGAUGCAAGCGUUAUCCGGAAUUAUUGGGCGUAAAGCGUCCGUAGGUGGUUUUGAAAGUCUAUUGUCAAAGAGCGGGGCUUAACCUCGUAAAGGCAGUAGAAACUAUGAGACUAGAGUUUGGUAGGGGUCAGGGGAAUUCCCAGUGUAGCGGUGAAAUGCGUAGAUAUUGGGAAGAACACCAGCGGCGAAAGCGCCUGACUGGGCCUGAACUGACACUGAUGGACGAAAGCUAGGGGAGCGAAAGGGAUUAGAUACCC
RNAcentral lists this ribosomal RNA (695 nucleotides) under uncultured bacterium. RNAcentral describes it as "bacterial SSU rRNA". It matches the Rfam family "Bacterial small subunit ribosomal RNA", at positions 50 to 787 of the family's 1533-position model. The record is from RNAcentral.